UACUACAAGCGCUAGCUUAAAACCCAAAGGACUUGGCGGUAUCCCACACCCACCUAGAGGAGCCUGUUCUAUAACCGAUAAUCCCCGUUCAACCUCACCACUUCUUGCCAUUACCGUUUAUAUACCGCCGUCGUCAGCCCACCCUGUGAAGGACCAAAAGUAAGCAAAAAGAAUAAAACUCCAAAACGUCAGGUCGAGGUGUAGCAAAUGAAGUGGGAAGAAAUGGGCUACAUUUUUUCCCAAAAAUAUACGAAUGAUAAACUGAAAACAUACCUAAAGGUGGAUUUAGCAGUAAGAGAAGAUCAGAAUACUUCUCUGAAAUCGGCUCUGGGAUAAGCACACACCGCCCGUCACUCUCCUCAAAAAUAACUCACCAUUUCCAUAAAUACAUUCCUUCAACAAGAGGAGGCAAGUCGUAACAUGGUAAGUGUACUGGAAAGUGCACUUGGAAUCAAAA
This 457-nucleotide ribosomal RNA is filed under the name Carcharhinus porosus (smalltail shark). RNAcentral describes it as "partial 12S ribosomal RNA". It matches the Rfam family "Bacterial small subunit ribosomal RNA", at positions 878 to 1533 of the family's 1533-position model. The record is from RNAcentral. Lineage: Eukaryota; Metazoa; Chordata; Chondrichthyes; Carcharhiniformes; Carcharhinidae.